This 403-nucleotide ribosomal RNA is filed under the name uncultured bacterium. RNAcentral describes it as "partial 16S ribosomal RNA". It matches the Rfam family "Bacterial small subunit ribosomal RNA", at positions 30 to 526 of the family's 1533-position model. The record is from RNAcentral.
AUUGAACGCUAGCGGGAUGCUUUACACAUGCAAGUAGAACGAGUGGCGGACGGGUGAGUAAUAUAUCGGAAGUGCCCAGUAGAGGGGGAUAACUACUGGAAACGGUAGCUAAUACCGCAUACUAUCGGAUGACCCAUAUGGGAUUAGCUAGUAGGUGGGGUAAUGGCUCACCCAGGCGACGAUCCCUAGCUGGUCUGAGAGGAGGAUCAGCCACACUGGGACUGAGACACGGCCAAGACUCCUACGGAGGCAGCAUUGGGGAAUAUUGCACAAUGGGCGCAAGCCUGAUGCGGCCAUGCCGCGUGUAUGAAGAAGGCCCUAGGGUUUUAAAGUACUUUCAGUCGGGAGGCGUUACCGACAGAAGAAGCACCGGCUAACUCCGUGCCAGCAGCCGCGGUAAUAC